UGCCUCCCUCAUGUGAUCGUCAGAACCCAGCCAGAGGACGCAUGAGGGCAGCGCCUGGACCAAGGGCCAAAGGCAACAAGCCCAAGCUGAGAACCGAGACAUGAAGUCAUCAACAGUCACUGCUGCUCCAAACACACCCUACGGUAGAGCCUGAGUCCCUUCCACGGCCUCGGUGAAUUCAAAUGCAGCACAUUUACCCAGCGAAAGAGGCCACGGAUGACUUGGAUGAGAACUGCCCUUUCCCACCCACGAAUAACGGCCCCGCAGCCAGAGUAAGCUCUGGUGAGCACCGCGCCUGCCCCAGCGAGCCCAGAACAAUUAUUCCUGCUGACACCCGCCAUCACUCUCUCUCCCCGGGACACUUCCUCUGUUAUCAAGUAGAGCAAAGCCAGGAAAAACAUCACACGGCAGCAGCAUCUGGAAGCUUGCCGGAAAUGCAGAAUCGCGGGCUCACCCCAGACGCUAGUGAGGACCGGAAGUGAUUUACCUGUGAGCCCAUUAACAUUGGAGAAGCUGUGGGGGGGGGGGGGGCGGGGGGGCACUUGGGGGGCUCAGUCGGUUAGGCGUCAGACUCGUGAUCUUGGCUCAGGUCACGAUCUCACGGGGCCUGAGAUCGAGCCCCGGGUCUGCCUCUGUGCUGACAGCAUGGAGCCCGCUUGGGAUUCUCUGUCUCCCCCUCUCUCUGCCCCCCUGCCCACCACCAAAAUAAAGAAAUAUUUAAAAAAAUUUCUUUUUUGAGA
RNAcentral lists this long non-coding RNA (740 nucleotides) under Felis catus (domestic cat). RNAcentral describes it as "lncRNA (ENSFCAG00000052476.1)". The record is from RNAcentral. Lineage: Eukaryota; Metazoa; Chordata; Mammalia; Carnivora; Felidae.